GAUCAUGGCUCAGGAUGAACGCUGGCGGCGUGCCUAACACAUGCAAGUCGAACGGACUUUUCAUGAAGCCUAGCGAUUGAAAAGUUAGUGGCGGACGGGUGGGUAACGCGUGGGUAACCUGCCUUGUACUGGGGGACAACAGUUGGAAACGACUGCUAAUACCGCAUAAGCGCACAGCUUCGCAUGAAGCAGUGUGAAAAACUCCGGUGGUACAAGAUGGACCCGCGUCUGAUUAGCUGG
RNAcentral lists this ribosomal RNA (240 nucleotides) under uncultured bacterium. RNAcentral's name for it is "partial 16S ribosomal RNA". It matches the Rfam family "Bacterial small subunit ribosomal RNA", at positions 15 to 248 of the family's 1533-position model. The record is from RNAcentral.